CCAUAGGUUAAUGAGGCGAACCGGGGGAACUGAAACAUCUAAGUACCCCGAGGAAAAGAAAUCAACCGAGAUUCCCCCAGUAGCGGCGAGCGAACGGGGAGGAGCCCAGAGCCUGAAUCAGCAUGUGUGUUAGUGGAAGCGUCUGGAAAGGCGCGCGAUACAGGGUGACAGCCCCGUACACAAAAGCGCAUGUGCUGUGAGCUCGAUGAGUAGGGCGGGACACGUGGUAUCCUGUCUGAAUAUGGGGGGACCAUCCUCCAAGGCUAAAUACUCCUGACUGACCGAUAGUGAACCAGUACCGUGAGGGAAAGGCGAAAAGAACCCCGGCGAGGGGAGUGAAAAAGAACCUGAAACCGUGUACGUACAAGCAGUGGGAGCACAGGUUUACCUGUGUGACUGCGUACCUUUUGUAUAAUGGGUCAGCGACUUAUAUUCUGUAGCAAGGUUAACCGAAUAGGGGAGCCGGAGGGAAACCGAGUCUUAAUUGGGCGUUAAGUUGCAGGGUAUAGACCCGAAACCCGGUGAUCUAGCCAUGGGCAGGUUGAAGGUUGGGUAACACUAACUGGAGGACCGAACCGACUAAUGUUGAAAAAUUAGCGGAUGACCUGUGGCUGGGGGUGAAAGGCCAAUCAAACCGGGAGAUAGCUGGUUCUCCCCGAAAGCU
Molecule: ribosomal RNA, 664 nt
Filed under: Salmonella enterica
Lineage: Bacteria; Pseudomonadati; Pseudomonadota; Gammaproteobacteria; Enterobacterales; Enterobacteriaceae
Description: partial 23S ribosomal RNA
Rfam family: Bacterial large subunit ribosomal RNA
Source: RNAcentral